Alligator mississippiensis (American alligator) is the source of this 10364-nucleotide long non-coding RNA. RefSeq lists it as uncharacterized. The transcript is spliced from 17 exons. The record is from RefSeq and is a predicted model, not a curated record. NCBI's taxonomy places the organism in Eukaryota, Metazoa, Chordata, Crocodylia, Alligatoridae.
UCCCCUUUUCUAUGCUGAUGCUGAAACCUGUCUAGAGAGCAGGUUGCAAAGCACCACACUUUCAUUUUUUAAGCAGAAAAAGAAAUGAAAAAACCUGUUGUUGUUCAGGAAGCACCGCAGGACAUCAGUUCAACUUCAGGGGAGUUUGAGAUGUGUGGUAUACAGAUUCUCACCUGUGCAGGAGGGAGGAGGAGGCUAACAGCAGAUUGUCUCCACUUUGCAAAUGUCUUUUAAAGCUUUCCUCUGUUCACAUCGAAUGUUUACGUGUGGUUUUUGCUUUGUUUUUUAAAUGGAUAUUCCGAUACGUGUCAAGCAGAUUGGCGUCGCUGGAAGUUUGGGAAUGGGAGCGAAUCCGUUUUCCAGCGGACUUGGGAGAUGUCAAUGAGCGGGGGCCUGUGUCCCUGGAAAAAAUACAACUCUGGAAGGGAAGAGCACUGCUCAUCUCUUUCCCUGCCCACCUGGGAAUGCUCCUUGUCCUGUUUUGUUUCUUUUACUCUGCUGUCUAGACCGAUUUUUCAUUUACAAAGGUUCACAAAACCAAAAAUCAGUUGGUGUUUUAAGCUGCUUUUUUCCCACCUUUUCAGGAAGCAGUUACUCAUCUUUGGUCUUGCCUGGUAUUGAAGGCUGGAGAAACAGAUUCUUAUUGUACUUUCUCAGGCCAUUGCUUGUGAUGUAAAUGCAGGCUUAUUACUUGUUAACAGUUGCAAAGAGCAUGUUCAUCUAACACAGGAGGUACAUAGUCCCACUAGGGACCUCUUACUGGACUUGGUGCUGGCGACAGGGGAUGACCUGGUAGGGAAUUGACUGACUCGAGGUAACCUAGGGGACAGUGACCAUCCAUUGAUUGGAUUCACUAUCUGGCACAGGGUGGGAAAAAUAACCAGUAGGGUAGGAGUGCUAGACUUCAGUGUGGUCAGGAGAUUAGUUAGCGAGGCGCUGAAGGACAAGAGCACUGGUAAGAUGGGAGUCCAGGAAUGGGAGUUGUUCCUAAAGGGAGCAAUCCUACAGGUGUAGGAGAAGAUGAUCCCGUUGCACAGGAGAGGGGAAAGAGGGGCCAAGAAACCCUCUUGGCUGAACAGCAAAAUGCAGGAAAACCUAGGGGCAAAAAAGAGGCAUAUAGACAGUGGAAGCAUGUGAGAUUUACCAAGGUGGAGUAUACCUACUUGGCCUGCACUUGCAGGGAGGCAGUUAGAAAGGGUGAAGCAGAAAUGGAGCUUGGGCUGGCAACAAAAAUUAAAAACAAGUAAAGUCUUUCUUUAGGUGUAUAAGGAGUAAAAAGAAGGUGCCAUGGUAGCAUAGGAACCCUACAGGACAAACUAGGGUAAAUAGUGAUAGGUGGGGUGAGCGGGGCAAGGUUGAGCUCUUCAGUGAGUUUUUUGCUUCUGUAUUCCUGAACAUGGAACAGGACAAGUCUCCCAGUUGGAUGCUAGACAGGCAUAAAAGGGACACCAGCCCACCAAGUGUUUGUGCCAACUUGGUGAAGAGGCACUUGGAAAGACUGGGUGUGUUUAAGUCAGCAGACCCACGUGAUCUUCAUCCAAGGGUGCCAAAGGAUUUGGCAGCAUUAUAGGAGAGCCCCGACACAGCUGUUUGAGCACUCGUGGCACUCGGGUCAGGUCCCAGAGGGCUGGAAAAGGGCCAGUGCGGUCCCUACCUUUAAGAAAGGAAAGGAGGAUCCGGGUAACUAGACACCAGUUAGUCUCACUUCUAUUCUGAGGAAAACCUUUGAAAACAUUAAGGAUCACAUUUGUGGGAGUCCUGGAAGGUGGGGGGAUGCUGAAGGGCAGUGAGCACUUAUUCAUAGCAGGUAGAUCCUGCCUGACUAACCUUGUUUCUUUUUAUGACCAGGUCACAAAAUGCUUACACACAGGAAUUGAGGUAGAUGUCAUCUACUUGCAUUUUAAGAAGGCCUUCAAUAUGGUAUCUCAUUCUAAUGUCAUUAAUAAACUGAGCCGCUGUCACGUAGAUGAUUACACGAUCAGGUGGGUGGCAAAAUGGCUCAGCGUCAUACCCAGAGAAUAGCGGUGGAUGGGUCGGUAUCGACCUGGAAAGAUGUGGGCAGUGGAGUCUGACAAGGCUCGGUCCUUGGACCUGUGCUGUUUAAUGUCUUCGUGAGUCACUUGGAUGAGGGCGUGGAAAGCACUCUGUCCAAAUAUGCAGAUGAUACCAAAUUUAUGGGUAACGUUAACAUGCUAAAGCAGAGGUCCUCAAACUGUGGUCUCUGGACCAGCGCUGGUCCACAAGCUCCAUGUAGGUGGUCCUCAGAAAGGUUGCAGAACAAUUGAGAAUCUCUGCAUUUGGCCCUGCAGUUGAUUACUUUUUUUUCCGGUGACGGAGAUUAAGCGGUCCGCUGAGACCCUCGGCAAUUUUCAAGCGGUCCGUGCAAAACAAAGUUUGAGAGCCGGUGCGCUAGAGGGUUGGGACCAAAUCUGUGGGCACCUGGGCAGGUUGGAAAAAUGGGCAGACCAGAACAGGAUGCAGUUGAACAAAGACAAGUGCAAAGUGCUGCACCUAGGGAGAAGGAAUCACCGGCACGCUUACAGGCUGCGGGAGGGCUUUCUCAGCAUCAGAGCAGCGGAAAGGGAUCUCGGAGUCAGCGUCGAUACCGAGAUGAGCGUGAGUUGUCAACGUGACAAAGCGAUUGGUAAAGCUAACUGCACUUUAUCAUGUGUUCGCAGGUGCAGGACAAACAGGUCCAGGGAGGUGAUGCUUACCCUCUACGCGACAUUGGUCGAGCUGCAGUUGGAGUACUCUGUCCGGUUUUGGACGCCACACUUCAAGAGGGAUGUGGACAACCUUGUGAGGGUUCAGAGGAGGGCAAAAGCUAGUCCUUGCGCUCCUGUCGUUGGAACCAGCUUAUCGGCGAGGAAGCGCAGCGUGACAUUCGGAACCAAAAGGCCCGGAGUAGAAGGGCCCCCGACAUCCGUCGCAUCUGCAACGGGUCCCUGCGUGAGCUACUGAGAAACGAGCGUUUGGGGCCCGCACCGGUCUCUCGGAAACAUCCGAGCCAGCCCUGGCAGCAGGUGCCUGCGCGUUCCUGCCUCGUACGCGGUCAGGGAACGCUACGCACCAGCAGUUGCCUCGGCUUCUGACCGGACGCACGCCGUUUGCUCGCAAGCAUCCAAAGCUAGCACCUCCAGCGGCUGCAGCUGUUGCUUCCCAACUACUAGGAGAGCCUUGCAAAAGCAAUGGCCUGCCCCUGGGCCAGGCUGAUACCAGUGGCUCAGACCCAGAGACUUGCUGUUGUACCUCCCGGUGUCUGGAUUAGGUGUCGAGCACUUGGAACUCUGGCAGCUUCAGCACAUAUUAACCUCUCGUCCUCCUGUGGCCAACACCACGGAGCCCGUGACCCUAAUGUUUCUGUCAGCCUCUGUCCCACCCUUCCCCUGAAGGCCUCCCGUGAAAUCCCUUGUCCCAUCACAGUCUGCAGGUUGGCUCCAGCGGUAUUUCCCAGCUGCACGUGGAGAGUUGCAAGGGAGCCACUGCCUCCUGUGUAUGUGGGAAGGUGAUGUAAGGGGGUGCACAGUUACCCUUAAGAAGGAGCAAUUUUUCUAUGGAGUUAAGCUGAAACUGCUGUACAGAGCGUCUUGCAAAGUGCCUUCGGGUCUGCAGCGGUAGAAGGUAUAUGGGGUAAGGCACAGAGCUGAGGGAAUUGCACUGUGUUGCCCUCUGUGAGCUUCCUGGGAAACACUUGGGGCGGGGGGGUGGGGGUGCGGUUCCUGUAGGUGCCUGGGCAGUGCAACCAUUUUUCUUCCAUGCCCAUGGGGUGUGGGUGCAGGUUUCCCCCUGGGUGACAUGACACUGCCAGUGCAGGCCCAGUCACCUGAGUGUAGAGCCAGGGGGGACUUUAUGGUAUGGUUGGGUUUGAACUACAAAGGAGCAGGGACCAGGAUGCACGGGUGUCAGAGAUGUGUUCCAGACCAGGUGAGGGGUGCAUGCAGGUCCGUGGCAGCGUCCUAGGGCAGGCCAGGGCACUGGGGGGUCCCUGUGCUUCUGGCUAGUGCGGGAGGAGCCUGGUGCUGGGGGUGCUCUGUGCUGCUGCCCACCAGCCCGUGCUUGUGGGAUGCUUUGGUGCCCCUGACUCCCAGCCCGCAGCCUCUGCUUGUCUUGUGUUGCCCUCACUCCUGACCCGCAGCCUUGUCCUCACGGAAAAGAUCAGUCCCAAAUGCGACUCAGGUGGGUGAACAGGUGAUCCAGGGCUGCGUUUGGUGGGGGAGUGGGGGCAAUGUGUCCCCUAAGUCCACGGUGGCAUGCGGUUGUGUCCCUCACUGGUGCUGUGUGGGCUGGGGCUGUGGUCCCACUGUUCCUGAAAGCAACGGGUUGCACCUGCUGGGCUGCAGAGGCCCCGGGGCAAGGGCAGCAGGGAGGGAGCCUGAGUCUGCAGUGGGCAGCCUGCCCCUGCCCUGCACACAGGAUUGUGGGCACGGGUUCCCGCUGCCCCUCGGGAAUGCGCACAGCUGUGAGGAACCCCUCACCCAGCCUGAGCCCGCAGCAGGCAGGCAGUGGGUGGGGGGAGCUGGGCUUUGGUCUGCUGCAGCAGCCGCUGUCUCCUGCCGGGCAGGGUGCCGUGGACACGGGUCCCUGGCCCCAUAGUGCUGGCAGCUGGGGGCCCUCUCUGGUAGAGCUGGGGGCCAGGAGGUUGGGCGGAGUGGGGAGUUGAGGGGCUUUUCAUUUUAAUCAGACAUUUUGGUGUUUUUAUUUGAGAAUUAGUGGGGUUAUCUAUCAGAGAUUUUGCCUUUUUUUUUUAUCAGGGAAAAGCAGGAUGCCUCGUCAUUAGAGCAGCACGUGGGAGCCAGGGCCUGCAGCGUUAUCAGGCGUGGGGUGGACACGCGGUUCCCGGUGUCAGUCAGAGCCCGGUGGGCGGCGGGCACGCUCCGCAGCAGCACCCGGGCUCCGGCGCUGCCGUGCGCUCUGGACACGAGGGGCAGCUCUGAGCCGGCACGUGUGGGGCCGUCUGCAAGGCUGGCUCGGGGCAGAGCAGACCGGGGUGCUGUGCGCGACCCUCGGGGCUGUCAGGCAGCCGCUUGCCCAGCGGAGGCAUCAGCGCUGCAGGCGGGAUCCCCCAUGGCCACGGGCGGGGCAGGGCACGGCGGGGCGGGCGGGUGUUCUGUGCGCGGUGCCGCAGCUCGGCCCCUUCCUCCUCGAGCUGAUGCUGGCGGGACGCUGCUCCGCCCCGCUCCGCUCCGCUUGGCCCUGGGCGCGCUGCUCGCCCCGCGCCCCCCGCACGGAGUCGGAGCCGCCGCUCUCCUGGGGCGCCUGUGUCAGCGAGGAGCUGCAGCGUGAAAGAAGUGGGACUUGGAAAUAUCCAAGGGACCACGGGUAACAGUUUGACGGGCGUCACGUAGACUCGUUUUGCUGAAACUUUGGGAACGGGACCGAACCCAUUUUCCUGUGCGCUUGGACCUGCAGAUGGCUGGGGCCCGUGUCCCUGGGGAAACUCCGAGUCUGGAAGGGAGGAACACUGCUCAUCUCUCUCCCUGCCUGCCUGGGAACGCUCCUUGCCUUGUGUUUGUUAGACUCUGCCAUUUAGACCUAUUUUAACUUGUAACAGGGUCACAAAACCAAAUGCCAGUUGCUGCUCGUAGCUGCCGUUUCCCAUCGUUCCAGAAAGCAGCUACUCGCUCUUGGUCUUGUCUGGUAUUAAAGUCUUGAGAAGCAGAAUUUUAUUCCACUUUUUUUGGCCGUUCCUUGGGAUGUAAGUGUAGGCUCACGGCCUAUUCCUUGUAUGCCAGCUUAAGCACGUGUCGUUCUUAAGUUAGGCUUCUGGUAGGUGUGUAGUCUGCAAUACUGAGCGUGGUCUGUCAGGCCCUGACCAUAUUUUCAGUUUACACCGAGGGGAAUCUGCCCAUAGCCUUCCUUCCCCUUUCUCAUCACCAUCUUCGUAACAUCCCUGCCUCUUUACUUGUCGCUCAUUUCAGGAGCUGUUGUGUGCCAGUGCUUCUGUUCCCUGGUGCUUUCCCCGGGUACCCACCCUGUCUCCUGUACGUGGUGGAGGACCGGUUUAAGGAGUUGCACGGAGGGCCUCACAGAAGUCCUGUGUGGUCACGGGUUUACAAUGAAGACUUGCAGCUGUGUGUUACUAUUUCUGGGGUGUGCCGUGUGUGAGGUGCAGCUGUCAGAGGAACGCUUUGGAGAUGUCGCUCACGCAGGGAAGCAAAAUUGUUCUGCUCCCCACUACUGAGCUUUAAAGGGUGAUACCUGUGAGACAUCACAUCCCCUGUCCAAACCUGAGCCAUCUGAGCAGGGGAAGUGGCAUGGGAGCGGGGGCCAAGAUACCUGGUUGACAGCCCAGACUGCAAGUUGAAGGCUGCAAUGGAAGCGCUCAGAGUGUGGCCUGUCAGAUUCCAACAAAAUCUGUCAAGUCUCACAUGUAGCUUAUCACAAGGAAACGAAAAAGAAAAGGACAUGAGCAGGGGCCCAUGUUAGAGUCUUAGUGCAUUGGUCAGCGAUUGGGGGUGAGGGGGUGCAUGUCCCUCCUUCACUGCUUGUGUGUUGACUGUCAUUGUUAAAGGACCAGGGUUGGGGGCGGGGGCAUUCUUGGCUGCUUGGCCAAGUGCCUGGGGGAAGAGCUAGGAGGAAGGGGGAGGUUCAGCAACCCCGGACUGGCCAGGUCUCCCCCUGCCUCCCACAGGGCUGCGCUACCUGCUACUGGCAGUGACUCUGCCUGGAGCAGUUGGCAGGCCCUUGUAAGCAGCCUGCACUGCUUGGGAGAUGUGGGCUGUGACACCUUGGUUUUCUGGACUGUGGUAAGAAAGCAAACAGCCUUGUAGUACAGGCUUCAGUUGUGGGACUGCACCCUGUUGUUGAGACCCCCCCCCAGGGGCUUAUUUCUUGUAUGUCCAUGCAGGAUAGUUGGAGGGGUGGGGAAUGGAAGGAAGAGGCAUGGAUGAGACCUGCAUCUUCUGUUCAGCAAAUUUCUGUAAGUAAUGUUAGUACUACUAAUAUUAUCCCUGUUCUGAUUCUUACUAUUACUAUUAUUUGUUUUCCCAUAUACUUUGCCAACAAAGCACCUGGCAGGUCCAGUAAGAAAAGGAAGUUUCCAAACAGGUGACAGAAGGAAACCAAAUGAUUUAAGUAUGCAAGUGGUGGUGGUGGUGUUGGGAAGGUUCAGGAACCAUGGGGGAGGCAAGAUUUUUUGUUAUGUCUUUUGUGGCAACAACAGCACGGUUUGGACGGACAGAAGCAAGGUUUUAGGCAUCCCAGUCCCCUUUUUCAGUCCUGGUUCCUUCCCAGCAUCCUGAGGAAAGGUACUGUCAUACCCCAAAGGUUGCCUGUAUCUUACAGUUGGUCUGGUAAAACAGGGGUCAAAAAACCUAUGGCCUGUGGUUUGGAUCCAGCCUGUGAAGAAACUGGUUCUAGCCUGUAGCAGUUCAACCAAGGAGCAGCACACUCCCACGGUGACAGCAGCAGGGACAUCCCCAGCGGCCUGUUGCCACUGCGUUCAGUUUGUUCUUUGUGCUGCAGCAGAAGCAGCCUCCCCAGGGUCCCGGCCCCUGCCUCUUUCUUUUGAGUCCCUUCACAGCCUGUGGAGAUUGCCGGGGAGCAAGCUGUCACGUUGGCAACGGUGCACAACGGCAAAAGAACGGCCCUUCCCUGCAAGGAAAGAUAGCACCUAACUCCGAGCGAGCAGAGCAGAGCAGAGCAUGGACACAGAGCGAGAUGCUCAUCAGUAGGGUAGUCUGGCCUUGCCGUUGCUAGGAGUGCCCAAGUAGGGAGGUGUUGGAAUAAUUUCUCAGCUUUUUCCCUAGAUCGCUCUAAGAGGAGAGGGGAGCGCUAAGCACACUUGGGUUCGUGCACGCUCCCCAUCGUUUUCAGAAGCGGACGGCAGGAGAAAGUUUGCGGUCAGCGAUAGCAGCACAAGGCCGCGCAACCAGGCUCGGGAACGUGGGGCUCUUUCCUAAACCAGGAGUGGCAGGACUUGCACAGCUUUGCCAGGAUCCUGGCUGUUGUGGAGAGACUUUGGGUUGGAGAUGGAUGCAAAGAAGUGGAGGCGUGCCAUGGUGAUGGAGGAUAGAGCAGGAGGAGUAGUGUGAUGGAAGAUGACCAAAGUCUGGUCCUGAGUGGAGAAGAGCUGAGGAAGAGGUGAAGAGCCCUGGAGCUGGUAUGGCGUGGAAGGAGUUGGAGACGGCCUGAAGCCAUGCUCACGUGAUCACCUGGAGCGAGCAGGUGCCUGCAUCGUAUCUGGGAAAGGGAUAGCAAGCAUGAGGACUGAUGGCGCACAAGGACUGAAGGCGCAGCGUGAUGCCAGGUGUGGAGCCAUCUUCUGAAGGCUUGAGGGCUGUGGAGCAGACUCUGUGAAGAUGAAGUGAAGAGUCCCAGAGAUGGUGCAGGAGGAAACGGGCAGCCCUGUUGUGACUUCCUGAUUUGCGUGGUGUGAGGCCUCUUCCCCUGUGGCAUCACCUGGCUGGAGUCUGGGGAGGUUUUGUGUGUAGCUUUGCAGGCGGUGCGUCUCCGCUCCCACUUCUUGCUGUGAGGAUGCCUGGAUAAGCAGCAGCAUGAUUGUGGCUGGGUGGCCUCAAUGUUGUGGGGGAGAGGAACAGAAGCGAGGCUUCUGCGGUGGUGGUAGAAGAUGGAGGAACUGGAUCCCGAAAGGUGGGCUGGGUUAAAGUGGGAGGCUGGGUUGCGUUUUCCCUGGUCGUGUUUGGGUGGGGAAGGAAACGCCUUGUGCGUAAUGGGGUCUGGAGCUCCGUGCUGUCUGGGAAGUGAUGCUGAAGCCGGGACUUGUGGCCCUUAGGGAUGCUGCAGAGCAGGGGGUGUAAGCCUGAAUUGGGUUUAGUUUGGUGGUGAGACCUGACUCCUUGUAAAGGCUGGAAAUUGUCCUUGAGUAUAUUAGGGGUUUCAGUGUUUGCCCCUGGCUUCUGGGUGCAGGUGACAGCAUUGGAUGUGCUGGGACAGAGGAGCGGGUGUGUGCGUGUCCGCCUCUGCCUGGCUGUUGCUGCUGCCACUGGUCUUCCUUCAGUUCUGGGAAUUGCACUCUGUCCUAUGUCUCUGGGUGUGUCACUGGUGUUUCUUUCUACUUUGAUAUCUAAAAUCACAGCAGCACUUCUUCUUUCUUUCUUUGCUCUUCCCAGAGCUGGAAGGAUAGGUGUGUUUGCAACUGAAUUGAUCCCCUCAUUUGGGUGGGCUUUGACUGCACCCUGUGUGCCUCGCGUGCGAGUGGGGGUGUUAUGCUUUCGGUGUCCUAGGCUGCUGGGGGUGGGGGGCGUUGUCUCUGCUGUCAGUACUAUGAGACGUGAAUACUGUUGCGUGUAGUAAUUGCUUGUUGUUUUGGGUGUGAUGUUAAUAUGUCGAGCGUGAGUGGAGAAGAGCUGAGGCGAAGAGACCUAGAGCCAGCGCUAGGUAGAAGCGGGUGGAGGAAGCAGGUGGUUGUGCAGCCAUGCUCGCUUCUGGGUCACCUGGAGGGAGGCCUCUGCCUGUUCGGUGGACCUGUGUGCACGAGCAGAGCCUGCAGAGGUCCCUGCUUCCCCUGUGUGGAGAGGAUGGCAAGGAGGGAGGAGAGCGCGCUGGAGGAAGAGGAGCGCGAUGCCAGGUCCCAUGAGUGCUGUCUCUUGGGGGUCCUGACCUGUGCAGAGGGAAAUGACUGCCGGUUGAAGGAGUGAAGCUGAGCAGCGCCCACGGAGGGUGAAGCAGGAGGAACUCGAUGCCGCACGGCGUGUCGGUGCCGGAUGGGCAGUUCUGGCAAUUGGUUUCUGUUUUUCUCCAGCCCAGUCCUGGGUGUUGGGCAUUGACUAGGUAGGGUAGACGACUGGAGAUCGAUCUGGAUGUUUCUGACAAACAUCUGGAUGUUUCUGACAAACAUCUGGAUGUUUCUGUGGGUGUCAGAGAAAAGGUCCUUCUUGUGGUGGUGUCUCCAGCAUAUGCUGUGGCUGCUGUGCUGUGGUCCCAGCAGAGGCAAGCCUUGGAGAGCUCAGAGGUGUGGACCAGGGGAUGGGAUUGCAUUGUGUAGCUUUGUGCCUUUGCUUCCGUUGUUGGACUCCCUGGCUGUUGAAUGUAUUUCUGUUUGCAGGGUCCUGGUCCUUGGAGAGAAGUUUGAGCAGAGAAGGGUGGAAGAUGGAGGCAGAGAGGAUGGUGCAAGCAGGGGGUCUUUUUACCAAGACUUUUGGGGCAGGGAGGAGAAGUGGAGAUUGGGCAGAAGAAGAGAAGACAUCUUGAAGUCAUGAACCAUGGAGCUGCCUGUCAUUGGUGCAUGGAACAUGUGAUGGGUGCUUGUGCUGUAGCUCUGUCGUGAGGAGCAGGGCAGGGGCAGUGACAUGCUGAGGGCUGGAGAAGGAGCACCACAAAGAUGGCUGUGAGGCCUUGGUCAGGCGUGAAGUAUGAGAGCCAGGAGAGUCGUACAGCACGCACGCAGGAUGGAGGUAGAAAAG